Molecule: long non-coding RNA, 291 nt
Filed under: Chrysolophus pictus (golden pheasant)
Lineage: Eukaryota; Metazoa; Chordata; Aves; Galliformes; Phasianidae
Description: lncRNA (ENSCPIG00010002143.1)
Source: RNAcentral
UCCCUUGGACAGGCAGAACAACGCAUAUGAACUGUAGAAGAAAACUCUUGGCCUAAUAAUAUCAAACACUACUCUCACAAGCCACAGACAAAAUUUCUAUACUAGCUGCCACCAGCAUCUCCCUUGUGCCAGAAGGAGAGGGAAGGGGCCUGCCUGCAACAGGAAAUGAGCUGUGCCGUGCUUCCCAGCAUAUGAGAGCUCCAGGUAGUCCCGGCCUACAAUGACUCUUCCAGACUACAGCCUGAUGGGAAAGUGUCAAUUUCUUGGAGCUCACCUGAGAGGACUUAAGAG